ACAUGUGUUGCUGACCAUUGUCCGAAGACACCAUCACCUGCCGGUGGUCAUCUAUCUUUUCUGUCCAGUUUUAUUUAUUGCACCAACGUCCCAGACGACUAUAAUAAUGAAGAUUAUUGAUUCGUGUUCCUUCAAUGAGGCGUUAUACAAAUCAUUCGAUCGUUUAAUACGUCUAAUAUUUUAAAUAGCUUUAGUUACAUUUAUUGUCAAGAAAAUGGCCGAUAUCGUCUGGACAGAUAACUAAUCUCUUCUUCCUCGUAUCAAUGAAGGAAAAUAUAAUAUUUAUUUAAGACCACUUCACGUUAGGU
Molecule: long non-coding RNA, 308 nt
Filed under: Mytilus galloprovincialis (Mediterranean mussel)
Lineage: Eukaryota; Metazoa; Mollusca; Bivalvia; Mytilida; Mytilidae
Source: RNAcentral